CAGCCGCCACGGUAAUACAGAGGGUGCAAGCGUCAAUCGGAUUUACUGGGCGUAAAGCGUGCGUAGGUGGCUGUUUAAGUCGGAUGUGAAAGCCCUGGGCUUAACCUGGGAACUGCAUUCGAUACUGGAUAGCUAGAGAUCGGUAGAGGGCAGCGGAAUUCCGGGUGUAGCGGUGAAAUGCGUAGAUAUCCGGAGGAACACCGAUGGCGAAGGCAACUGCCGGGCCUGAUCUGACACUGAGGCACGAAAGCGUGGGUAGCAAACAGGAUUAGAUACCCGCGUAGUCCCUGUCUCUUAUACA
RNAcentral lists this ribosomal RNA (301 nucleotides) under uncultured bacterium. RNAcentral's name for it is "partial 16S ribosomal RNA". It matches the Rfam family "Bacterial small subunit ribosomal RNA", at positions 509 to 808 of the family's 1533-position model. The record is from RNAcentral.